AGCAGCCGCGGUAAUUCCAGCUCCAAUAGCGUAUAUUAAAGUUGUUGCAGUUAAAAAGCUCGUAGUUGAAUUUCGGGAUCAGUAUGUUGGUCGUGCUUCGGUACGUACUGUCAUUACUGGUUUCUACCUUCUGAAGAACCUUGAUGUCAUUAAUUUGGUGUCUUGGGGAAUCAGGACUGUUACUUUGAAAAAAUUAGAGUGUUUAAAGCAAGCAUACGCUUGAAUACAUUAGCAUGGAAUAAUGAAAUAGGACGUUUGAUUCUAUUUUGUUGGUUUCUAGGAUCGACGUAAUGAUUAAUAGGGAUAGUUGGGGGCAUUAGUAUUCAAUUGUCAGAGGUGAAAUUCUUGGAUUUAUUGAAGACUAACUACUGCGAAAGCAUUUGCCAAGGAUGUUUUCAUUAAUCAAGAACGAAAGUUAGGGGAUCGAAGACGAUCAGAUACCGUCGUAGUCUUAACCAUAAACUAUGCCGACUAGGGAUCGGAUGAUGUUAAUUUUUAAUGACUCAUUCGGCGCCUUAAC
RNAcentral lists this ribosomal RNA (520 nucleotides) under uncultured Glomus. RNAcentral's name for it is "SSU rRNA". It matches the Rfam family "Eukaryotic small subunit ribosomal RNA", at positions 569 to 1092 of the family's 1831-position model. The record is from RNAcentral. Lineage: Eukaryota; Fungi; Glomeromycota; Glomeromycetes; Glomerales; Glomeraceae.